Molecule: ribosomal RNA, 496 nt
Filed under: uncultured bacterium
Lineage: Bacteria
Description: partial 16S ribosomal RNA
Rfam family: Bacterial small subunit ribosomal RNA
Source: RNAcentral
GAUGAACGCUGGCGGCGUGCCUAAUACAUGCGAGUCGAGCGAACAGACGAGGAGCUUGCUCCUCUGACGUUAGCGGCGGACGGGUGAGUAACACGUGGAUAACCUACCUAUAAGACUGGGAUAACUUCGGGAAACCGGAGCUAAUACCGGAUAAUAUAUUGAACCGCAUGGUUCAAUAGUGAAAGACGGUUUUGCUGUCACUUAUAGAUGGAUCCGCGCCGCAUUAGCUAGUUGGUAAGGUAACGGCUUACCAAGGCGACGAUGCGUAGCCGACCUGAGAGGGUGAUCGGCCACACUGGAACUGAGACACGGUCCAGACUCCUACGGGAGGCAGCAGUAGGGAAUCUUCCGCAAUGGGCGAAAGCCUGACGGAGCAACGCCGCGUGAGUGAUGAAGGUCUUCGGAUCGUAAAACUCUGUUAUUAGGGAAGAACAAAUGUGUAAGUAACUAUGCACGUCUUGACGGUACCUAAUCAGAAAGCCACGGCUAACUACGU